Molecule: ribosomal RNA, 255 nt
Filed under: uncultured bacterium
Lineage: Bacteria
Description: partial 16S ribosomal RNA
Rfam family: Bacterial small subunit ribosomal RNA
Source: RNAcentral
AACGUAGGAGACGAACGUUAUCCGGAGUUACUGGGCGUAAAGGGCGUGUAGGCGGUUUGUUAAGUCUGGCGUGAAAGCUCUCGGCUAAACCGGGAGAGGUCGUUGGAUACUGGCAAACUAGAGGAUGGUAGAGGCAGGCGGAAUUCCGGGUGUAGCGGUGGAAUGCGUAGAGAUCCGGAAGAACACCGGUGGCGAAGGCGGCCUGCUGGGCAGUUUAGCUGACACUGAGGCGCGACAGCGUGGGGAGCAAACAGG